Long non-coding RNA from Homo sapiens (human), 702 nucleotides. RefSeq annotates it as EFCAB13 divergent transcript. The transcript has 3 exons. The record is from RefSeq and is marked validated. NCBI's taxonomy places the organism in Eukaryota, Metazoa, Chordata, Mammalia, Primates, Hominidae.
ACCCCGAGCGGAGCGGGCCCAGGACCCUAUCGGCUGUCGAGCCGGUGCUGCCGCGGCCACCGCCACCGCCCAGGGGCUCCGGGGCUGUGGGGAGCGGCUGAACUCAAUACCGCCUCCGCGCUGACUGGAAGGCACUGCGGCCGCGCCUGCCUGCCCCACCUCGUAAGGGCCUGUGACCUCACGAGGCCAGCCGCCGGGCGCUGCAUUCGAGCGAACUUCAGAUUGAAAAGCAUGUACUUGAGUAGCUGUAUUUAAGGAAUUACACCCAAGAAGUCUCAUCUUCCCUGGACUUACGUAGAGGAUAAGAUUCUGAACUUUGAAUUGAUGCUAUAAUGGGAUAAGACUUUGGGGCCUUAGAAGGGGAGAACAAAGGCCAUGAAGGUGUUAAAGGGAAGCAAGCGAUCGACAGCAUUGGUUGGUGACAAACCUGUGGCUGGUCUGUGUAUGAUGGGAUGGAUUCCUCCUGCUCCCAGAAGGCACUGUACUUUCAGUGUUCAGGGCAGCCUUGCCUUAGUGCCUCAAACCUAUCCCUACAUCCUGCAGUAAACUUGGAAAGGUAACACCUCUAACCAUCAGGCCUUCCUCUGAAGCACAGUCAAGUUGCUCUUGGCAACCAUCUCAAUUUUAAUAGUGCAGAUGCCAUGUGCUGUAAAGUCCUAAAAUUUAAAUUCUUUAUUUCUUGACAUCAUUGCCUCAAAAAAA